UUGGCGGACGGGUGAGUAACGCGUGGGUAACCUGCCUUGUACUGGGGGACAACAGUUGGAAACGACUGCUAAUACCGCAUAAGCGCACAGCUUCGCAUGAAGCGGUGUGAAAAACUCCGGUGGUACAAGAUGGACCCGCGUCUGAUUAGCUGGUUGGUGAGGUAACGGCCCACCAAGGCAACGAUCAGUAGCCGGCCUGAGAGGGUGAACGGCCACAUUGGGACUGAGACACGGCCCAA
Molecule: ribosomal RNA, 239 nt
Filed under: uncultured bacterium
Lineage: Bacteria
Description: partial 16S ribosomal RNA
Rfam family: Bacterial small subunit ribosomal RNA
Source: RNAcentral